Molecule: transfer RNA, 73 nt
Filed under: bacterium
Lineage: Bacteria
Description: tRNA-Ala
Rfam family: tRNA
About the family: Transfer RNA (tRNA) molecules are approximately 80 nucleotides in length. Their secondary structure includes four short double-helical elements and three loops (D, anti-codon, and T loops). Further hydrogen bonds mediate the characteristic L-shaped molecular structure. tRNAs have two regions of fundamental functional importance: the anti-codon, which is responsible for specific mRNA codon recognition, and the 3' end, to which the tRNAs corresponding amino acid is attached (by aminoacyl-tRNA synthetases). tRNAs cope with the degeneracy of the genetic code in two manners: having more than one tRNA (with a specific anti-codon) for a particular amino acid; and 'wobble' base-pairing, i.e. permitting non-standard base-pairing at the 3rd anti-codon position.
Source: RNAcentral
GGGCCCGUAGCUCAUUUGGUAGAGCGCUGCAUUCGCAUUGCAGAGGCGGUCGGUUCGAAUCCGAUCGGGUCCA